RNAcentral lists this ribosomal RNA (833 nucleotides) under uncultured bacterium. Its description in RNAcentral is "bacterial SSU rRNA". It matches the Rfam family "Bacterial small subunit ribosomal RNA", at positions 8 to 853 of the family's 1533-position model. The record is from RNAcentral.
AGAGUUUGAUCCUGGCUCAGGACGAACGCUGGCGGCGUGCCUAACACAUGCAAGUCGAACGGAGUUGAAAGGAGCUUGCUUUUUUCAACUCAGUGGCGGACGGGUGAGUAACGCGUGAGUAACCUGCCUUUCAGAGGGGGAUAACGUUCUGAAAAGAACGCUAAUACCGCAUAAGAUUGUAGUUUCGCAUGGGACAGCAAUCAAGGGAGCAAUCCGCUGAAAGAUGGACUCGCGUCCGAUUAGAUAGUUGGCGGGGUAACGGCCCACCAAGUCGACGAUCGGUAGCCGGACUGAGAGGUUGAUCGGCCACAUUGGGACUGAGACACGGCCCAGACUCCUACGGGAGGCAGCAGUGAGGGAUAUUGGGCAAUGGGGGAAACCCUGACCCAGCAACGCCGCGUGAGGGAUGACGGUUUUCGGAUUGUAAACCUCUGUCCUCUGUGAAGAUAGUGACGGUAGCAGAGGAGGAAGCUCCGGCUAACUACGUGCCAGCAGCCGCGGUAAUACGUAGGGAGCGAGCGUUGUCCGGAUUUACUGGGUGUAAAGGGUGCGUAGGCGGAUUGGCAAGUCAGAAGUGAAAUCCAUGGGCUUAACCCAUGAACUGCUUUUGAAACUGUUAGUCUUGAGUGAAGUAGAGGUAGGCGGAAUUCCCGGUGUAGCGGUGAAAUGCGUAGAGAUCGGGAGGAACACCAGUGGCGAAGGCGGCCUACUGGGCUUUAACUGACGCUGAGGCACGAAAGUGUGGGUAGCAAACAGGAUUAGAUACCCUGGUAGUCCACACUGUAAACGAUGAUUAUUAGGUGUGGGGGGUCUAACCCCCUCCGUGCGGAGUU